UACGUAGGUCCCGAGCGUUGUCCGGAUUUAUUGGGCGUAAAGCGAGCGCAGGUUGUUUAUUAAGUCUGGUGUAAAAGGCAGUGGCUCAACCAUUGUAUGCAUUGGAAACUGGUAGACUUGAGUGCAGGAGAGGAGAGUGGAAUUCCAUGUGUAGCGGUGAAAUGCGUAGAUAUAUGGAGGAACACCGGUGGCGAAAGCGGCUCUCUGGCCUGUAACUGACACUGAGGCUCGAAAGCGUGGGGAGCAAACAGG
RNAcentral lists this ribosomal RNA (252 nucleotides) under uncultured bacterium. Its description in RNAcentral is "partial 16S ribosomal RNA". It matches the Rfam family "Bacterial small subunit ribosomal RNA", at positions 524 to 776 of the family's 1533-position model. The record is from RNAcentral.